This 518-nucleotide ribosomal RNA is filed under the name uncultured bacterium. RNAcentral describes it as "bacterial SSU rRNA". It matches the Rfam family "Bacterial small subunit ribosomal RNA", at positions 8 to 518 of the family's 1533-position model. The record is from RNAcentral.
AGAGUUUGAUUCUGGCUCAGGAUGAACGCUAGCGACAGGCUUAACACAUGCAAGUCGAGGGCAGCAUAAAAGUAGACAAUACCAUGGUGGCGACCGGCGCACGGGUGAGUAACGCGUAUGCAACCUACCUAUCAGAGGGGAAUAACCCGGCGAAAGUCGGACUAAUACCGCAUAAAACAGGGGCACCGCAUGGUGAUAUUUGUUAAAGAGAUUCGCUGAUAGAUGGGCAUGCGUUCCAUUAGGUAGUUGGUGAGGUAACGGCUCACCAAGCCGACGAUGGAUAGGGGAACUGAGAGGUUGGUCCCCCACACUGGUACUGAGACACGGACCAGACUCCUACGGGAGGCAGCAGUGAGGAAUAUUGGUCAAUGGGCGAGAGCCUGAACCAGCCAAGUCGCGUGAAGGAAGAAGGAUCUAUGGUUCGUAAACUUCUUUUGCAGGGGAAUAAAGUGCAGGACGUGUCCUGUUUUGUAUGUACCCUGAGAAUAAGGAUCGGCUAACUCCGUGCCAGCCGCCGC